UGAGAAAAGCAGAAGUGAGAACUUCUCGCCUUGCGACUGACGUUGUCUGGCUCUACAGGAUUCAAGUUUCAGUGAUGAACGAUUAUCAUGUAGUGCGGAUUUGCGUUAGCAGGUCCGCACUUGUUUUUCUCG
This is a non-coding RNA of Streptococcus sp. DD11, 132 nucleotides long. The record is from Rfam. NCBI's taxonomy places the organism in Bacteria, Bacillati, Bacillota, Bacilli, Lactobacillales, Streptococcaceae.